Molecule: long non-coding RNA, 482 nt
Filed under: Olea europaea (common olive)
Lineage: Eukaryota; Viridiplantae; Streptophyta; Magnoliopsida; Lamiales; Oleaceae
Description: long non-coding RNA (OEUR_LNC015240)
Source: RNAcentral
AGCAAUCCAGUCACAUAUCAAGGAAAUGAGCAAGUUCUGGUGGGAAAGGCUAAGAGUAUUGACAUAAGGAAUAUUGGUACUGUUUCUAUCCCUGCACAUUCUAAAUUUCUGAAAUCAAAACACGACUUACAUUCCCCUGAAAUCACUAAAAAAAUUAUUUGAUGUCACAAAGGGCAAAUUUUAUCCUACAUUUUUCUAUGAAGGAUCAAUGGUCAAAGAAAAUACUACUCCAAGGUCAGCUUGAUAGAGUUCUUUACGAAAUCAGUGCAGAAACAAGAAGUCCAAAUAUCAAUCCUCAACCCUCAUCUCCUGUCAGAGUCUAUCUUCACCAGAAUAAGGAUUCUAAACUGUGGCAUAUUUGACUUGGCCAUCCAUCUCGAAAACCAAAAGUGUUGUCUCAAGUGCUACCUAACUGUAAUUUGCAAGUUGCAAAUAGCUCCUAUCUUGAUUCUUGUGCUUCAUGUCAAUUAGCAAAAUCUCAC